This is a long non-coding RNA of Oryzias melastigma (Indian medaka), 689 nucleotides long. RefSeq lists it as uncharacterized. Lineage: Eukaryota; Metazoa; Chordata; Actinopteri; Beloniformes; Adrianichthyidae. The transcript is spliced from 4 exons. The record is from RefSeq and is a predicted model, not a curated record.
AAAACAGUUGGGCGGAGCUCCAGCGGAGUAGGGAGGUUCAUAAAUCUGUGUUCAUAUUGUCGCGGGACCGCGCAGGAGUACGCGAUACUUUUUCAGCCUCUUUUCGGAAAUUUACCAUCAAACUGAAGGGUGGAGAAGGACGGACGUGAAUAAAAAAAGGAUGGGUUAAUUUUUUGUGGAGCCUCCCGGGCGGAGAAAUGCCAAAUGAAGGGCGUCUGCCUCGGUUUUUCCAGCGUGUUUUUCCUAACAGGUAGCCAGCGGGCAGCCUCGGAGGCGGCUCCGGAGCGAGGCUGAAUAUCCCGCUUUGUAAUCGUCUGACAGCUUGUUAAAACCAUCUUUUUUUUUCAUCGGCGGGGGGCAUCUGGAGGAGCCCCCACUCUGGACCGAACCAUGGACGGCGGGGUUGAUCGAUCUUCCGGGGCGGCUGUCCUGAAUUUUCUAACAGAUUUCAGGCGCUGACAUGAAGAAGGAGGACGGCGUGGAUUAGGAUCCUUUCCCCCCUUUUUCCCUCCACUUUUUUCUCUUUGGAACUCCAUUCUCCUGACUUCAAUGUGGGCUCUGAAGGACUCCUGCCCCCAUCUGUGGUUUGGAAUGAAAUGAUGGCGGCGCGUUGGAGUAACUCAGGGCGGGACAAUAAGGAGAACAAGCAUGCUGUCCUGACUCCUCCUUGCCAGGCCAAACAGAAAGAU